GUGAGUAGUUCAGAGUUUGAUCCUGGCUCAGGAUGAACGCUAGCUACAGGCUUAACACAUGCAAGUCGAGGGGCAGCACUAGGUAGCAAUACUGAGGUGGCGACCGGCGCACGGGUGCGUAACGCGUAUCCAACCUUCCCGAUACUCUUGGAUAGCCUUCCGAAAGGGAGAUUAAUACAAGAUGGUGUUUCACUUUCGCAUGUUAUUGAAACUAAAGAUUUAUCGGUAUCGGAUGGGGAUGCGUGACAUUAGAUAGUAGGCGGGGUAACGGCCCACCUAGUCUACGAUGUCUAGGGGUUCUGAGAGGAAGGUCCCCCACACUGGAACUGAGACACGGUCCAG
This 342-nucleotide ribosomal RNA is filed under the name uncultured bacterium. RNAcentral describes it as "bacterial SSU rRNA". It matches the Rfam family "Bacterial small subunit ribosomal RNA", at positions 1 to 334 of the family's 1533-position model. The record is from RNAcentral.